Molecule: long non-coding RNA, 603 nt
Organism: Penaeus monodon (black tiger shrimp)
Lineage: Eukaryota; Metazoa; Arthropoda; Malacostraca; Decapoda; Penaeidae
Exons: 4
Source: RefSeq, a predicted model, not a curated record
CACACACACACACACACACACACCGAACAUACAUGUACGUUCAUUGUAAAUCUGCCUUUUGCGUAUGGGUCAGUGCUGGCUCGAAUAAGUAUGUCAUCGUGAUUUGUUAAGAAAACGAGGAAAACCGAACGAAGGUUUCGUCCUUUCAAUUAGAUCGCAAGCGCAGUGCAACCGAAGAACCAACCAAGUGUUUCUUCCCUCGCAGGCUCCCUUCCACUGCACGAGGCUGCGAAGGGAGGUCGGAGGGAGGUGGUGGAGGCGCUGCUCGCCGGGGGCGCUGACCCAAACGCCCAGGAUUAUUUUGGUCGGCAGCCUCUCCACAGGGCCGCAGAGGGAGGUCGGAGGGAGGUGUUGGAGGCGCUGCUCGCCGGGGGCGCUGACCCCAACGCCCAGGAUGGUUUUGACUGGACCCCCCAGCACGUUGCUGCCUCUGAGGGUCAUAAGGCAGUGGUGGACGUCCUCAUGGCGGGGGGGAGCGACCUCAAUGCCAGAGAUUGUGACGGCAGAACGGCGAUGCACGUUGCAGCCAAGCAGGGGCACUGGGGGGCGCUGGAAUCUCUUGCAGCGAGCUGGGCCACGUGGACCCUCGUCGGACGAUGCGGG